UGGCCGCAGUACCCUGACUGUGCUAAGGUAGCAUAAUAAUUUGCCUUUUAAUUAAAGGCUAGAAUGAAGGAUUUGACGAAAGAAAAUCUGUCUCUACUUAUUUUAAAGAAAUUAACCUAGAAGUUAAAAGGCUUCUAUCUGCUAGAGGGACGACAAGACCCUAUAAAACUUUAUUUAUUAUAUUUAUAUCUACUUCAAGAAGACAAUAUAAAUUUAUAAAUUUUAUUGGGGCGAUAGAUAAAUAAACAUUAUCAGCCAUAACGUCCUUAACGAAAUUUAUAGAACGUUUUUAAACUAAUAACAAGCUACUUUAGGGAUAACAGCAUAAUUUCUUUUUAGAGUCUCUAUCGACAAAGAAGAUUAUGACCUCGAUGUUGAAUUGAGCUACUCCCUUUUAAUUAGACUUAAAGGGUAGGAGUCUGUUCGACUCUUAAUUACUC
RNAcentral lists this ribosomal RNA (440 nucleotides) under Tylos sp. clade D MM-2013. RNAcentral describes it as "partial 16S large subunit ribosomal RNA". It matches the Rfam family "Bacterial large subunit ribosomal RNA", at positions 1928 to 2597 of the family's 2925-position model. Lineage: Eukaryota; Metazoa; Arthropoda; Malacostraca; Isopoda; Tylidae. The record is from RNAcentral.